Molecule: ribosomal RNA, 750 nt
Filed under: uncultured bacterium
Lineage: Bacteria
Description: bacterial SSU rRNA
Rfam family: Bacterial small subunit ribosomal RNA
Source: RNAcentral
CAGGCCUAACACAUGCAAGUCGAGCGGUAAGGCCUUUCGGGGUACACGAGCGGCGAACGGGUGAGUAACACGUGGGUGAUCUGCCCUGCACUUCGGGAUAAGCCUGGGAAACUGGGUCUAAUACCGGAUAUGACCUCCUAUCGCAUGGUGGGUGGUGGAAAGAUUUAUCGGUGCAGGAUGGGCCCGCGGCCUAUCAGCUUGUUGGUGGGGUAAUGGCCUACCAAGGCGACGACGGGUAGCCGACCUGAGAGGGUGACCGGCCACACUGGGACUGAGACACGGCCCAGACUCCUACGGGAGGCAGCAGUGGGGAAUAUUGCACAAUGGGCGAAAGCCUGAUGCAGCGACGCCGCGUGAGGGAUGACGGCCUUCGGGUUGUAAACCUCUUUCAGCAGGGACGAAGCGCAAGUGACGGUACCUGCAGAAGAAGCACCGGCUAACUACGUGCCAGCAGCCGCGGUAAUACGUAGGGUGCAAGCGUUGUCCGGAAUUACUGGGCGUAAAGAGUUCGUAGGCGGUUUGUCGCGUCGUUUGUGAAAACCAGCAGCUCAACUGCUGGCUUGCAGGCGAUACGGGCAGACUUGAGUACUGCAGGGGAGACUGGAAUUCCUGGUGUAGCGGUGAAAUGCGCAGAUAUCAGGAGGAACACCGGUGGCGAAGGCGGGUCUCUGGGCAGUAACUGACGCUGAGGAACGAAAGCGUGGGUAGCGAACAGGAUUAGAUACCCUGGUAGUCCACGCCGUAAACGGU